AGUGAACGCUGGCGGCGUGCUUAACACAUGCAAGUCGAGGGGUAACAAGAGAAAAGCUUGCUUUUUUUGUUGACGACCGGCGCACGGGUGAGUAACGCGUAUCCAACCUGCCUAUAACUAGGGAAUAACCUUGCGAAAGUAAGACUAAUACCCUAUGAUUUCCUUUGAUGACAUCAGAUUAGGAAUAAAGAUUUAUCGGUUAUAGAUGGGGAUGCGUCUGAUUAGCUUGUUGGCGGGGUAACGGCCCACCAAGGCAACGAUCAGUAGGGGUUCUGAGAGGAAGGUCCCCCGCAUUGGAACUGGGACACGGUCCAAACUCCUACGGGAGGCACCAGUGAGGAAUAUUGGUCAAUGGGCGGAAGCCUGAACCAGCCAAGUAGCGUGCAGGAUGACGGCCCUAUGGGUUGUAAACUGCUUUUAUACAGGAAUAAAGUUAGCCACGUGUGGUUAUUUGUAGGUACUGUAUGAAUAAGGACCGGCUAAUUCCGUGCCAGCAGCCGCCGUAA
Molecule: ribosomal RNA, 506 nt
Filed under: uncultured bacterium
Lineage: Bacteria
Description: partial 16S ribosomal RNA
Rfam family: Bacterial small subunit ribosomal RNA
Source: RNAcentral